Molecule: long non-coding RNA, 1064 nt
Organism: Brachypodium distachyon (stiff brome)
Lineage: Eukaryota; Viridiplantae; Streptophyta; Magnoliopsida; Poales; Poaceae
Exons: 3
Source: RefSeq, a predicted model, not a curated record
CCUACAGGGGAGAACCAUUUGCUCGAGCUGUGACCCUAACCCUGCCCAUCAAGCAUGGGAUGGUUGAAGACUCUGAAAGGUGUUCUACCUGACUAAGGGGCCUUGCGUCUAGUCAGAGUAGCAGCAGAGGCAACUUGGGGAUAUUUUAGGGUAGGUUGGCGCUUUAUCCCAGGGAACCUCCCCUUGUAAUCGCCCAGGCAGCUGUAACCCUCACCCGGAUCGGAGUAUAUAAGCCGGGUGGGGGAAAAACCCCAAUCAGGCAGAGCCUUCUUCCCCAAGCCUUCUCUAUACCAGACGAGAGAUAAAGAAGAGUCAACAACCAAACUCUGUACACAUAGAUAUGAGCAACCUCGAGGGAAUUCAUCCCCGAGUUGCUCAAGCAACUCACCCAACCAGAUCAAUACAGAGUACAGACACCCACAAACAGGAUUAGAGUAUUACCUCACAUCGAGGGCCCGAACCUAUAUGAAUCUUUGUUCUAGGUGCUAUCAUCGGUGAUACUUGGUCAUGCGCUACCCCGAAUCAUAUAUUACCGCGUUACUAAGAAACACCAACAGUUGGCGCACAAGGUAGGGGCAGCACCCAACUCCCAAGAUUGGGUCCUGAUGGUGUCUUCUGCAAUCAGCUCUGCUUCCGGUGUGAUCGUCUGCUACAACACUGGAGGCCUGGCACCUGCUCUGGGCCAGCUCCUCCGCUUUGGAGAGCUGGACUUCACCUCCGACACGGACAAGCCAUGUCUCCAUUUGAUAUAUGAUAUGUGGGAUAGCAUGAUAGAGAAGGUGGAAAUACCUAUCUAUCGGUUUUAAGGAAAGGACAUAUUUUCUAACUUCUACAGCAUUAUUAAGGAAAUCCUUCUACCCCGUUGGACCAAGAGCACCCCUCUACUGUCUGUCUCACUCACUAAAUCCAAGGUACUAUAGUCAAGAAUGGAUUAAUGAAGUCCCUGGACAUGCUAGCCCCAAUGAUGAUAGUGAAGUUAUUGAGAUGAGAAACAUGUGCUAUCAAAAGCUUUUUCCAGACCAUGAUGACUUCAAGACUAUCGAGAAAGAGUUUGUUGAUUUUGC